UACGUAGGGGGCAAGCGUUAUCCGGAAUUAUUGGGCGUAAAGAGUGCGUAGGUGGUUACCUAAGCAGGGGGUGAAAGGCAAUGGCUCAACCAUUGUUAGCCCCCUGAACUGGGCUACUUGAGUGCAGGAGAGGAAAGCGGAAUUCCUAGUGUAGCGGUGAAAUGCGUAGAUAUUAGGAGGAACACCAGUGGCGAAGGCGGCUUUCUGGACUGUAACUGACACUGAGGCACGAAAGUGUGGGGAGCAAACAGG
Molecule: small RNA, 252 nt
Filed under: uncultured Eubacteriales bacterium
Lineage: Bacteria; Bacillati; Bacillota; Clostridia; Eubacteriales
Description: contains 16S-23S intergenic spacer region
Rfam family: Bacterial small subunit ribosomal RNA
Source: RNAcentral